This 254-nucleotide ribosomal RNA is filed under the name uncultured bacterium. Its description in RNAcentral is "partial 16S ribosomal RNA". It matches the Rfam family "Bacterial small subunit ribosomal RNA", at positions 524 to 776 of the family's 1533-position model. The record is from RNAcentral.
UACAGGGGGUGCAAACGUUGCUCGGAAUCAUUGGGCGUAAAGCGCACGUAGGCGGUUCGUUAUGUCGGAUGUGAAAGCCCUUGGCUUAACCGGAGGAAGUGCAUCCGAAACUGGCGAGCUAGAGUACUAAAGAGGAUCGCGGAAUUCCCGGUGUAGAGGUGAAAUUCGUAGAUAUCGGGAGGAACACCGGUGGCGAAGGCGGCGAUCUGGGUAGAUACUGACGCUGAGGUGCGAAAGCGUGGGGAGCAAACAGG